This is a long non-coding RNA of Planococcus citri (citrus mealybug), 3868 nucleotides long. RefSeq lists it as uncharacterized. Lineage: Eukaryota; Metazoa; Arthropoda; Insecta; Hemiptera; Pseudococcidae. The record is from RefSeq and is a predicted model, not a curated record. The transcript has 2 exons.
GAAAUUCGUUGGAAGUGUUUUUCGUAUAGGUACGCAAGUUUAUCUGCUCUAUAGAGCACCACUGAUUUGGUGAUAAAAACUUGAUAGAUAUAACAUUAGUGUUACAACUGUUACACUUCAAUUUGCACUCGUUAUUUGAUAUUGUUGCGAUUCGGUAGUGAAUCUUAAUAUGGGCAUUCAUGGAAGUUCGCACAGCUGAUAAGAUCCUAUUCAUUUGGACCAAUCAUUAAGGCUUUGGCACUUGCUACACAUUGUACAUUUUCAUUCCUGUGUUGAAAAGCAACAUCAACUACAAAGCAUAAAAAAAUUUGCGAAUUUGAUAAAGAAUAACAUGUGGAAUUUGUCCUAUGGAGUGAUUAUCCUAUGCUGGAUUGCAAUCGUACCAUCAUUGUUUUGUUUAGACACAACGCCAACUUUAAAGCCAGAAAAAGUCGGAAAUUCAUCAACAAAGAAUAUCACAAACAACACCAACAGCACGAACUACAGCAAUGUCACAAAUCGUAACAGCAGCAGCAGAAGCAGCAGCACGAAUCACACGUGGACUUUGACCUAUGGAGUGAUGACCGUGCAUUGGAUCGCCAUCAUACCAGCACUCAUCUGCCUACUCAUUCAUAUUUUCAAAUUUUUCCAAAGUGGUAAAAUAUCAAAGCAAAGCUUGGAAACUAAAAAUCUUACUUUUUACUGUUUUCUUUUAUUAUUGUACGUAAUUUUUACUUUCACACACUUUUUACGAGUAUCGUCGAAUGCACGAUUAUACGUGUAUUUCCUGUACGUAUACAUCACAUUUGCAGUAAUGAUUUUCAAACUGAUAAUCAUUCUGGAUUUGUGUUUCCCGGUUGGCAAAACGGCAUUUUUUAGACAGUGCAUCUGAAUAGGGAUAUGACCACAUAUCAGUCAGAAUGUAUUUUCUGACUGCCAAAACGGCAAUAUCUGACUGUGGUUCUGAGUGUGGAUCUGACUAGUCAGAUCCACGCUCAGAUCUCCACUCAGUUUUCUGACGUGUCAGCGCCAUCUUGGAAUUUCAAAAAAAUACUUGUUUCUGAUUGGUUGAUUGUAGUCAGACUGCGAAUCUGACUGUCAAAACGGCAAUUUCUGACCGCAGAAAUGAGUAGUCAGAUAUCACCAGAAAUGUGCCAAUCGGGUUGUGUUUUCGCAAAAUUGCUUUGUCCUUGAAAGUACCUCCCCCAAAUACUUGUAACAAAAAAUUUCGCGUUUAUUGCAUUUUAGGAAUAAGCAUUCCUUUACUUUUUUUCCUACCAGCUGGAAUUUUCACUAACUGUGAAUUGACUCAUUAUAUGAAUGAAGUGGUCUGCAUCAUUAGUAUCUAUUGCUUGAUUCCGACUGCUUUUGCGUUUAGGUAUAUACGAAUAGCUACCGUCGAUAAAACUGUACUAUGGUCUAAGUUUUCUUUGCAUAUGCGUCUUCUAAUAAUGCUUGGAAUUUUUGCUGUUUUGGUAAGUGUUGCGCACGUGUAUGGACUAAUUAUGAAGGUGUUCUUUCAUAUUCCCUGUGAUUCUGAUAUUGAACAUGUACAAGUGAUGUGUACCGCUCUAGAAUGUAUCUUUAUUGCAGUAUUGUUUACUUUAAGAGAAGAUGCGUUUCAACAUGUUCAUACAACUGGACAAUUACGUACCUCUUAAUUAACUUAUUUCAAAAAAAGAUGAGGGGAAAUAGGUACCUAUAACCUUACAAGGGAUGAAGGCAACUAUCUGAACUGACAUUCUCCGAUUUGAACGAAACAAUCUAUAGAACGAAAGAGCAUGUCUUAAACCCAAAUAACUAAAAUGUGAGGUGCUGAAGUUUAUUUUUGGGUUUUUGGUAAAUUUUUGAAAAUUUAAAAAAUUAAAAAAAAUCUGUUUUAUGGGUAUUGGGCAAUUUUAUACCAUUUUCAUGAAAUAUAAAUUUUUUUGAACAAAGUGAACCAAUGUGAAAAUCUCUUGAUAAAUCAUCAGCUACUUAAUAGUUUUGGGCUAUUCCGGAGCCUCCAGGGCGAUCUUUCAAUUUUCUCCAGAAACUUUGUUCGACUUCCGAAGAGCCAAAAAGUAACUUUAGGGUGUUUACUGAGCACUCUCUUGACUUUUUGGGUGUUAUCUUGAAAUCCCAGGAGUGAAUUUUAGACCAACUUCUACAUUCCAUCUUCAUAGAAAGUGUACCACAAGCAAUUCUUUCAUCAAGCUAUCUCUGAUGUGUGUACACGACCUCGCGAGCUGAAAAGUCGUGAUGUAAAUGAUUUUGCUGAAGCUUCCGGUGAUUUUCAGUAGGUACCUACCUAUUUAUUUUUGAAAAAUUUCAAAUCAAUAUGGAAGUAUGAAACAUUAGACUAGGUACCAUCGAACUCACACUCCUGGAAUUUUGAGGUACCCAACUACUUGAAACGGUCAAGAGAGUGUCCAAUAAUCACUGACCGAAAUACUGGGAACAAAAGUUCAUUUUUGGCUCCUCCAAAGCGAUUUGAAAUUUCUUGGAAAAAUAGAAAAAUCAUUGGAGGCUCUCGAAUGGUCCAAAAUCAGUAAUAUAGGUGUAGAGUUGAAUUGAAGGAAUUAUUCAAAUUGGUUCACAUUGCUAAAAAAAAUUACAUUUCACGAAAAAGUUUGAAAAUUGUCCUUGAAACAGCUGCUUUAAAUUUUUUUAAUUUUUAAAAAUUCGACAAAAAUCCAAAAAUGAAGUUUAGGAUUUGUAAUUUGGGUAACGUGGAUUUCCAAAGAUGCUCUUUCGAUGUGGUUCAGUUUCGUUCAAAUUGGAGAGUACAUACAAGUUCAAAAGAUUCCCUUGUUGAAUACAAAAAAAAAAAAAAAAAAUGGAGGAUUUUGAUGAAAUUCAAUAGAGGUUUUCAUUUUGAGUUGAAAAUCAUGAUCCUGGGAAAACAUUUUUGGCUCCGGAGUGUCUCUGGAGGGGAGUUAAGAGUCCUCAAAGAGGAGAUAUUCUUGAGAGAAUCGUGGUUUUUUCGUUCAAGCCCCUACCCAACCUGUUUUGGAAAUUAAAAUGGUCUAAGUACUUCUAAAAGAUAGUAUUGGAGAAAUUCUGUGUCGAAUCAGCUGCCAUUGCCAUCAAAAUCCAAGACCACUUUUAAGAUUCUACUCAGCGAUUGAAAUUUACAAGUCGCUUAUUUUUGAGUAAAUUUGUGAUUUGAAAAUAUUUUCUUCUCAAAAAUUUCACAUUUACUAUGCCAAAUAUGAAAAGAUAUCAUUUCUGAAAUUGGGAAACUAUUUUGGAACAGAAUGGUGCAAAUUUUUGUGAUUUUUGCCAAUUUCAAAAAUCAAGGAAAAUUUUGGUUUUUUGAGAUUGGCAACAAUGAUUAAAAAAUUGGCACCAUUGUAUUUCAAAAUAUUCCUCUUGCUUCAGAAACGAUAUGUUUUGAUGUUUUGGAAUAAUUAAUGCGGAAUAUUUGACCAGAAAACGAUUUCAAAAUACAAAUUUCCCCAAAAAUGAGGGAUUUUUGAAUUUUUAACCCUUUAGUAGAGCUCUGAAGAAGUCAGGAAUUUUGAUGACAGUGGCCUAUGUUGACGGAAAAUUUUAAAUCCAGCGGGAAAAAAAUACUAUCUAUUAUUCCGAGAAUGCCUCCUCUGUGAGGGCUCAAAACUCCCUUCCAGAGGCACUUCCAUGAUCCUAAAUUUUUUCUGAGUGAUUUUCAACUGAAAGCGAAGGUCUCCACUAAAUUUGGCCAAAAUCCUCCGUCAUUUUUAUUUUGCAACACACCUUAAUGUUUAGAUAUGCUUUAGCAUUCCACUGAAGUGGUAAAAUUUCACACUGCUUUUUCAUUUUGAAUUAAAUUGAAUUUAUCAAUGCAGUAUUUGUUUUAAUGUUUAAUGAAUGUGAAUGUUAUUUAUUUAUAAGACGAUAAUACCUAAUUAAAAUAUUUUUAUUUUGA